UGGGGAAUAUUGCACAAUGGGCGCAAGCCUGAUGCAGCCAUGCCGCGUGUAUGAAGAAGGCCUUCGGGUUGUAAAGUACUUUCAGUCGGGAGGAAGGUGGUAAGGUUAAUAACCUUAGCAAUUGACGUUACCGACAGAAGAAGCACCGGCUAACUCCGUGCCAGCAGCCGCGGUAAUACGGAGGGUGCAAGCGUUAAUCGGAAUUACUGGGCGUAAAGCGCACGCAGGCGGUUGAUUGAGUCAGAUGUGAAAUCCCCGGGCUUAACCCGGGAAUUGCAUCUGAUACUGGUCAGCUAGAGUCUUGUAGAGGGGGGUAGAAUUCCAUGUGUAGCGGUGAAAUGCGUAGAGAUCUGGAGGAAUACCGGUGGCGAAGGCGGCCCCCUGGACAAAGACUGACGCUCAGGUGCGAAAGCGUGGGGAGCAAACAGG
This 429-nucleotide ribosomal RNA is filed under the name Chloroflexota bacterium. RNAcentral's name for it is "Chloroflexi bacterium partial 16S ribosomal RNA". It matches the Rfam family "Bacterial small subunit ribosomal RNA", at positions 355 to 776 of the family's 1533-position model. Lineage: Bacteria; Bacillati; Chloroflexota. The record is from RNAcentral.